GAUGAACGCUGGCGGCGUGCCUAAUACAUGCAAGUCGAGCGAACAGAUGAGGAGCUUGCUCCUCUGACGUUAGCGGCGGACGGGUGAGUAACACGUGGAUAACCUACCUAUAAGACUGGGAUAACUUCGGGAAACCGGAGCUAAUACCGGAUAAUAUAUUGAACCGCAUGGUUCAAUAGUGAAAGACGGUUUUGCUGUCACUUAUAGAUGGAUCCGCGCCGCAUUAGCUAGUUGGUAAGGUAACGGCUUACCACGGCAACGAUGCGUAGCCGACCUGGGAGGGGAGUGGGCCCCACUGGAACGGAAACACGAUCCAGCCUCCUACGGGAGGCAGCGGUGGGGAAGGUUCCGCAAUGGGCGGAAGCCUGACGGAGCAACGCCGCGUGAGUGAUGAAGGUCUUCGGAUCGUAAAACUCUGUUAUUAGGGAAGAACAAAUGUGUAAGUAACUAUGCGCGUCUUGAGGGUACCGAAUCAGAAGGCCACGGCUAACUACGU
This 496-nucleotide ribosomal RNA is filed under the name uncultured bacterium. RNAcentral describes it as "partial 16S ribosomal RNA". It matches the Rfam family "Bacterial small subunit ribosomal RNA", at positions 28 to 506 of the family's 1533-position model. The record is from RNAcentral.